Molecule: ribosomal RNA, 465 nt
Filed under: uncultured bacterium
Lineage: Bacteria
Description: partial 16S ribosomal RNA
Rfam family: Bacterial small subunit ribosomal RNA
Source: RNAcentral
GACGAACGCUGGCGGCGUGCUUAACACAUGCAAGUCGAACGGAAAGGCCCUGCUUGCAGGGUACUCGAGUGGCGAACGGGUGAGUAACACGUGGGUUAUCUGCCCUGCACUUCGGGAUAAGCCUGGGAAACUGGGUCUAAUACCGGAUAGGAGCCAUUUUUAGUGUGAUGGUUGGGAAGUUUUUUCGGUGUAUGAUGAGCUCGCGGCCUAUCGGCUUGUUGGUGGGGUAAUGUCCUACCAAGGCGGCGGCGGGUAGCCGGCCUGAGAGGGUGGACAGCCACAUUGGGACUGAGAGACGGCCCAGGCUCCUACGGGAGGCAGCUGUGGGGAAUAUUGAAGAAUGGGCGCAAGCCUGAUGCAGCGACGCCGCGGAGGGGAUGACGGCCUUAGGGUUGUAAACUCCUUUCGCUAGGGACGAAGCUUGUUGUGACGGUACCUAGAUAAGAAGCACCGGCUAACUACGUG